AGGACGAACGCUGGCGGCGUGCUUAACACAUGCAAGUCGUACGGUAAGGCCCUUUCGGGGGUACACGAGUGGCGAACGGGUGAGUAACACGUGAGUAACCUGCCCACAACUUUGGGAUAACGCUAGGAAACUGGUGCUAAUACUGGAUAUGUGCUCCUGCUGCAUGGUGGGGGUUGGAAAGCUCCGGCGGUUGUGGAUGGACUCGCGGCCUAUCAGCUUGUUGGUGGGGUAGUGGCCUACCAAGGCGGCGACGGGUAGCCGGCCUGAGAGGGUGACCGGCCACAUUGGGACUGAGAUACGGCCCAGACUCCUACGGGAGGCAGCAGUGGGGAAUCUUGCGCAAUGGGCGAAAGCCUGACGCAGCAACGCCGCGUGGAGGACGAAUGCUUUCUGAGUUGUAAACUCCUUUCAGCAGGGACGAUUGUGACGGUACCUGCAGAAGAAGCACCGGCCAACUACGUGCCAGCAGCCGCGGUAA
This 478-nucleotide ribosomal RNA is filed under the name uncultured bacterium. Its description in RNAcentral is "SSU rRNA". It matches the Rfam family "Bacterial small subunit ribosomal RNA", at positions 26 to 523 of the family's 1533-position model. The record is from RNAcentral.